GACGAACGCUGGCGGCGUGCUUAACACAUGCAAGUCGAACGGAAAGGCCCUGCUUGCAGGGUACUCGAGUGGCGAACGGGUGAGUAACACGUGGGUGAUCUGCCCUGCACUUCGGGAUAAGCCUGGGAAACUGGGUCUAAUACCGGAUAGGAGCCAUUUUUAGUGUGAUGGUUGGAAAGUUUUUUCGGUGUAGGAUGAGCUCGCGGCCUAUCAGCUUGUUGGUGGGGUAAUGGCCUACCAAGGCGGCGACGGGUAGCCGGCCUGAGAGGGUGGACGGCCACAUUGGGACUGAGAUACGGCCCAGACUCCUACGGGGGGCAGCAGUGGGGAAUAUUGCACAAAGGGCGCGAGCCUGAUGCAGCGACGCCGCGGGGGGGAUGACGGGCUUCGGGUUGUAAACUCCUUUCGCUAGGGACGAAGCUUUUUGUGACGGUACCUAGAAAAGAAGCACCGGCUAACUACGUG
RNAcentral lists this ribosomal RNA (465 nucleotides) under uncultured bacterium. Its description in RNAcentral is "partial 16S ribosomal RNA". It matches the Rfam family "Bacterial small subunit ribosomal RNA", at positions 28 to 507 of the family's 1533-position model. The record is from RNAcentral.